RNAcentral lists this ribosomal RNA (497 nucleotides) under uncultured bacterium. RNAcentral's name for it is "partial 16S ribosomal RNA". It matches the Rfam family "Bacterial small subunit ribosomal RNA", at positions 28 to 507 of the family's 1533-position model. The record is from RNAcentral.
GAUGAACGCUGGCGGCGUGCCUAAUACAUGCAAGUCGAGCGAACAGACGAGGAGCUUGCUCCUCUGACGUUAGCGGCGGACGGGUGAGUAACACGUGGAUAACCUACCUAUAAGACCGGGAUAACUUCGGGAAACCGGAGCUAAUACCGGAUAAUAUAUUGAACCGCAUGGUUCAAUAGUGAAAGACGGUUUUGCUGUCACUUAUAGAUGGAUCCGCGCCGCAUUAGCUAGUUGGUAAGGUAACGGCUUACCAAGGCAACGAUGCGUAGCCGACCUGAGAGGGUGAUCGGCCCCACUGGAACUGAGACACGGUCCAGACUCCUACGGGAGGCAGCAGUAGGGAAUCUUCCGCAAUGGGCGAAAGCUUGACGGAGCAACGCCGCGUGAGUGAUGAAGGUCUUCGGAUCGUAAAACUCUGUUAUUAGGGAAGAACAAAUGUGUAAGUAACUAUGCACGUCUUGACGGUACCUAAUCAGAAAGCCACGGCUAACUACGUG